Molecule: small nucleolar RNA, 112 nt
Organism: Hibiscus syriacus
Lineage: Eukaryota; Viridiplantae; Streptophyta; Magnoliopsida; Malvales; Malvaceae
Source: RefSeq, a predicted model, not a curated record
AAUCCAUGAUUAGUACAUUUUUUAAGAAAUCCCUUGUAUCAGUCCCAACAUUCAUAUAUAUACUCUUCAUCAGCUUGAAAGAAAGAUGAUAUGUCAUUUCUCAAUUGAGUGU